GAAAAGAAACUAACAAGGAUUCCCCUAGUAACUGCGAGUGAAGCGGGAAAAGCUCAAAUUUAAAAUCUGGUGGCUUUGCCAUCCGAGUUGUAAUCUGGAGAAGCGUUUUCUGUGCUGGACCGUGUACAAGUCUCUUGGAACAGAGCGUCAUAGAGGGUGAGAAUCCCGUCCAUGACACGGACACCCAGUGCUAUGUGAUACGUUUUCAAAGAGUCGAGUUGUUUGGGAAUGCAGCUCAAAAUGGGUGGUAAGCUCCAUCUAAAGCUAAAUAUUGGCGAGAGACCGAUAGCGAACAAGUACCGUGAGGGAAAGAUGAAAAGCACUUUGGAAAGAGAGUUAAACAGUACGUGAAAUUGUUGAAAGGGAAACGCUUGAAGUUAGUCGCGUCUUACUUGACUCAGCCUUGCUUCGGCUUGGUGUAUUUCAUGUGAGACGGGUCAACAUCGAUUUUGACCGGCAGACAAGGGGAGUAAGAAUGUGGCACUCUUCGGAGUGUGUUAUAGCUUAUUCUCAUAUGUGUCGGUUGGGAUCGAGGACCGCAGCGCGCCCUUGUGGCCGGAGGUUCGCCUCACGUUACGCGCUUAGGAUGUGGCAAU
This 596-nucleotide ribosomal RNA is filed under the name Fuscoporia gilva. RNAcentral's name for it is "eukaryotic LSU rRNA". It matches the Rfam family "Eukaryotic large subunit ribosomal RNA", at positions 56 to 632 of the family's 3401-position model. Lineage: Eukaryota; Fungi; Basidiomycota; Agaricomycetes; Hymenochaetales; Hymenochaetaceae. The record is from RNAcentral.